RNAcentral lists this ribosomal RNA (253 nucleotides) under uncultured bacterium. RNAcentral describes it as "partial 16S ribosomal RNA". It matches the Rfam family "Bacterial small subunit ribosomal RNA", at positions 524 to 776 of the family's 1533-position model. The record is from RNAcentral.
UACGGAGGAUCCAAGCGUUAUCCGGAAUCAUUGGGUUUAAAGGGUCCGUAGGCGGACCAUUAAGUCAGGGGUGAAAGUCUGCAGCUCAACUGUAGAAUUGCCUUUGAAACUAGUUGUCUUGAGUCAUUAUGAAGUAGUUAGAAUAUGUAGUGUAGCGGUGAAAUGCAUAGAUAUUACAUAGAAUACCAAUUGCGAAGGCAGAUUACUAAUAAUGUACUGACACUGAUGGACGAAAGCGUGGGGAGCGAACAGG